GGGGAGAUAAUUCAGCUGUGUGCCCUACACUGCAUCUCCAAGAGCCCUGGGGAGUCAGCCCCGCCACUCAAAGGGAGAUCUUGGCAGAGGCUUGCCCUAGGGGAGAGAGAUGUGGAGGCCAGAAAGAAACUCCAUGUGCAGUCCUUCGGAGAAAACUCAAUUCUUAUGUGGCCUUGGUCCAUCUCAUGCUCGCCUGGCACGAACACAAGCAACCACUUCAUACCUUAUUGUGAGGCUCAAAUUAACAGAGUGUAAAGAACCAAGGAAGCUAUAAAUAGCUGUGAACACAUGAAGACCUAUUGUUGUAAUUGGCAGCCACUGAUUCCUAUUUGGAGACGAUUCUGUCUGUGAAGCAUGUCCCCGCUUAUCUCUUGUUUAUAGAAAAGCUUUAGUCUCCCCGGCCUCCACUGAGUACCAAAGGCUGGCUCAGGAAUUACUGACUGGAAGAAUAUGAACAUGUAGUAACAAAAGACAGUAAUUGGGCCAAGAGAACAGAUACUAAAACCCCCACUAGAUGGAAGGAGAUAACUUCAUGAUAACAAUGAACACAGAGCCCCAAGAUUGGUUGGAAUUGGCAAGUUGAUGAUAUUAACUCCUGAUUAACCACCACCGACCGAUCAGAAGAAUGUCCACAAACUAAUCAAACCUCACAAGCCUCUUCCUUAAGGAUAAGGGAUCUUUAAAAACAUUUUCCCCAAAUGAGAUCUGAGGCCUUUAGAACAUUAGCUCCCCUCAUACACCUUGCUUGCCUUUCAAUAAAUGCUGCACUUUGUUUCACCACCACCUUGUCAGUAAACUGGCCUUACUGAGCUUAGGCAAAUAGACCCAAGUUUGUUUUGGUAACAUCAGGUUCCACUGAGACAUGGGCCAGAUCUUUAGUUCACCUAAACAUUCAUCAGCAGGAUCACAUGCCUGUGUUAAGCCAGGAGCUCAGAGUCUGGACAGGAAAGCAGGCUCAGGAAUAGACAAAUUAUAUCAGAAGGCAGUCUGUGCAAGCCCAGAAGGGAAAUCAUGAUGCCUGGGAUCCAGGAAUCAAGGAGGGUUGGGAGAAAGGGGAGAAGGCUUCACUGAGGAGGUGAUUUUGAACAAGAGUGGAACUUACCGCAUGAAAAAAACAGUUCUCCUUAAAGAAAGGAGCAUGUGCAAAGACCAGAGUGUAUCUGGCAGGAGGGUGUGGAAUCCAGUGUAGGGGCACUGAGUGUAAAUAUGGGGUUACAGGUGGUAUAGGUUGUGGCCACAUUAGGAGGCCGAUUGCAGGAUAAGCUAAGAUGCUCAGGCAGCAUCUGGGAGUGAGUCUGCCGAGAGGCGGUGCAGAGUGCU
Bos taurus (domestic cattle) is the source of this 1320-nucleotide long non-coding RNA. Lineage: Eukaryota; Metazoa; Chordata; Mammalia; Artiodactyla; Bovidae. The record is from Ensembl.